RNAcentral lists this ribosomal RNA (91 nucleotides) under Klebsiella ornithinolytica. RNAcentral describes it as "Raoultella ornithinolytica partial 23S ribosomal RNA". It matches the Rfam family "Bacterial large subunit ribosomal RNA", at positions 2835 to 2925 of the family's 2925-position model. RNAcentral also lists the same sequence under 1 other name. Lineage: Bacteria; Pseudomonadati; Pseudomonadota; Gammaproteobacteria; Enterobacterales; Enterobacteriaceae. The record is from RNAcentral.
ACGUUGAAGACGACGACGUUGAUAGGUCGGGUGUGUAAGCGUAGCGAUACGUUGAGCUAACCGAUACUAAUGAACCGUGAGGCUUAACCUU